GGGGCAGAUCGAGGAUUUAUC
This 21-nucleotide unclassified non-coding RNA is filed under the name Dictyostelium discoideum. The record is from RNAcentral. Lineage: Eukaryota; Evosea; Eumycetozoa; Dictyosteliales; Dictyosteliaceae.